This 253-nucleotide ribosomal RNA is filed under the name uncultured bacterium. Its description in RNAcentral is "partial 16S ribosomal RNA". It matches the Rfam family "Bacterial small subunit ribosomal RNA", at positions 524 to 776 of the family's 1533-position model. The record is from RNAcentral.
UACAGAGGUCCCGAGCGUUGUUCGGAUUCACUGGGCGUAAAGGGUGCGCAGGUGGCCGGGUAAGUUUGAUGUGAAAGCCCCGGGCUUAACCCGGGAAUGGCAUUGGAUACUAUCCGGCUGGAGGGUUGGAGGGGGGACUGGAAUUCUUGGUGUAGCAGUGAAAUGCGUGGAUAUCAAGAGGAACACCAGUGGCGAAGGCGGGUCCCUGGACAACACCUGACACUGAGGCACGAAAGCCAAGGGAGCAAACAGG